GCCAGCAUGGUGCAGUGGAUUGAACAUUGGAUUGUGACUCUGGAGGCCAGGGUUUGAAUCCCCACUCAGCCA
Molecule: non-coding RNA, 72 nt
Organism: Phrynosoma platyrhinos (Desert horned lizard)
Lineage: Eukaryota; Metazoa; Chordata; Lepidosauria; Squamata; Phrynosomatidae
Source: the annotation of a GenBank genome assembly